AAUUUCUCUUUCUCUCUCACUUUCCCUCACCCUUUCUACACUUUCCUUCUCUUCUCUCUCUAAAAAAAAAUCCUCUAACUUUCACACACUUUCCCAGAUAACCCAUCUUCAAACGCAGAAAAUUUUCCCUUAAGAAGUGGAUUUCCUUACCCCAAAAUCAAAUCUUCUUCACCAUUCAAUUGAAGAAACGGGUUCAAAGAUUUUCCCCAGAAAAUCUGAUCCCUCUCUCUCUCUUCCUGAAUGCUCCAACUUAUCCUCAAAUAGAAAGUGAUUCUCUAACAACUGAAAAAAAAAAAAAAAAAAAAAAUUUUCUUGGAAAUUCAGGAAAAGGGUUUGAAGAUUUUCUCGGGAAAGUGGAUUUCCUUACCCCAAAAACAUAUAGAUUCAUUUCUAAUCUCUCAAAUCUUCUUCACCAUUCAAUUGAAGAAACGGGUUCAAAGAUUUUCCCCAGAAAAUCUGAUCCCUCUCUCUCUCUUCCUGAACUUCCUGAAUGCUCUAAGUUAUCCUCAAAUAGAAAGUGGUUCUCAAACAACUGCAAAAAAAAUAAAAAAUAAAAAUAAAACACUUUUCUUGGAAAUUCAGGAAAAGGGUUUGAAGAUUUUCUCGGGAAAGUGAUUUCUAGAUUUGAAUUUUAAGAAAAGGCUAUGUGGAACAACAACAAGAUUUUUCCGGCAAGGGGGUUAAACAUGUUCAGGAUGUCCACCAGUAUAAUUCGUUCACUGAAAUGUUGGGGCCAGAGAGUCUUGCAAAGGUUCUUCCUGGAGUUGAAACCCUUGAAGAAGAUUCUUUUGAAUAAGUUCCUCCAUAUCCCUUAUACAAGUGUUUGGCAUCAGCUUUAUUAGAAUCAAUCAAUUCAAAAGCCUUUUGUAGGCCAGAUUGUGGUUUGAAGUUUAUCCCUGAAGGAAGCUCUUUGAAGCAGGAAGAAAAUGAAUGGCAAAAACUGGUUUUGGAUAAGCGAUCAAAAAUUGUGAAUCGACGACGAGGACUUGUCCAUUGACAUCAAUACGCUACUUGACAUACUUGGAGAAGAUCCUCAGCCUUCACAAUUACAGGUAGGUUCUUCAAUAUUUUUGCUCUCUAAAUUCUAUAAUUUGAU
This is a long non-coding RNA of Quercus robur (English oak), 1096 nucleotides long. RefSeq lists it as uncharacterized. The transcript is spliced from 4 exons. The record is from RefSeq and is a predicted model, not a curated record. Lineage: Eukaryota; Viridiplantae; Streptophyta; Magnoliopsida; Fagales; Fagaceae.